RNAcentral lists this ribosomal RNA (522 nucleotides) under uncultured bacterium. RNAcentral's name for it is "bacterial SSU rRNA". It matches the Rfam family "Bacterial small subunit ribosomal RNA", at positions 56 to 581 of the family's 1533-position model. The record is from RNAcentral.
UGCAGUCGAGGGAUGUGGAGCUUGCUUCCAUGAGAUGGCGCACGGGUGCGUAACACGUAUGUAACCUACCUUCUUCAGGGGGAUAGCCUCUCGAAAGAGAGAUUAAGACCGCAUAAAAUCACAAUGUGGCAUCACAAAAUGAUCAAAUAUUUAUAGGAAGAAGAUGGGCAUGCGGAACAUUAGCUAGUUGGUAAGGUAACGGCUUACCAAGGCUACGAUGUUUAGGGGACCUGAGAGGAUGACCCCCCACACUGGUACUGAGACACGGACCAGACUCCUACGGGAGGCAGCAGUAAGGAAUAUUGGUCAAUGGGCGGAAGCCUGAACCAGCCAUGCCGCGUGCAGGAAGACGGCCCUAUGGGUUGUAAACUGCUUUUGCAGGGGAAUAAACCUCAUUACGUGUAAUGAGCUGAAUGUACUCUGAGAAUAAGGAUCGGCUAACUCCGUGCCAGCAGCCGCGGUAAUACGGAGGAUCCAAGCGUUAUCCGGAUUUAUUGGGUUUAAAGGGUGCGUAGGUGGCUU